This 366-nucleotide ribosomal RNA is filed under the name uncultured organism. RNAcentral describes it as "bacterial SSU rRNA". It matches the Rfam family "Bacterial small subunit ribosomal RNA", at positions 526 to 896 of the family's 1533-position model. The record is from RNAcentral.
CGGAGGAUCCAAGCGUUAUCCGGAAUCAUUGGGUUUAAAGGGUCCGUAGGCGGUUUAAUAAGUCAGUGGUGAAAGCCCAUCGCUCAACGGUGGAACGGCCAUUGAUACUGUUAAACUUGAAUUAUUAGGAAGUAACUAGAAUAUGUAGUGUAGCGGUGAAAUGCUUAGAGAUUACAUGGAAUACCAAUUGCGAAGGCAGGUUACUACUAAUGGAUUGACGCUGAUGGACGAAAGCGUGGGUAGCGAACAGGAUUAGAUACCCUGGUAGUCCACGCCGUAAACGAUGGAUACUAGCUGUUGGGAGCAAUCUCAGUGGCUAAGCGAAAGUGAUAAGUAUCCCACCUGGGGAGUACGUUCGCAAGAAUG